Molecule: ribosomal RNA, 499 nt
Filed under: uncultured bacterium
Lineage: Bacteria
Description: partial 16S ribosomal RNA
Rfam family: Bacterial small subunit ribosomal RNA
Source: RNAcentral
GACGAACGCUGGCGGCGUGCCUAAUACAUGCAAGUCGAGCGAAGUUUUUCUGGUGCUUGCACUAGAAAAACUUAGCGGCGAACGGGUGAGUAACACGUAAAGAACCUGCCUCAUAGACUGGGACAACUAUUGGAAACGAUAGCUAAUACCGGAUAACAGUAUUUCUCGCAUGAGAGAUAUUUAAAAGUUGGUUAUGCUAACACUUUGAGAUGGCUUUGCGGUGCAUUGGCUAGUUGGUGGGGUAAAGGCCCACCAAGGCGACGAUGCAUAGCCGACCUGAGAGGGUGAUCGGCCACACUGGGACUGAGACACGGCCCAGACUCCUACGGGAGGCAGCAGUAGGGAAUCUUCCGCAAUGGGCGAAAGCCUGACGGAGCAACGCCGCGUGAGUGAAGAAGGAUUUCGGUUCGUAAAGCUCUGUUGUUAGGGAAGAAUGGAUAUGUAGUAACUAUACAUGUAAGAGACGGUACCUAACCAGAAAGCCACGGCUAACUACGUG